CCCUUAGAUGUUCUGGGCUGCACGCGCGCUACACUGAUGCACUCAACGAGUUUACGACCUUGCCCGAUAGGGUUGGGUAAUCUUUUUAAAAUGCAUCGUGAUGGGGAUAGAUUAUUGCAAUUAUUAAUCUUCAACGAGGAAUUCCUAGUAAGCGCGAGUCAUCAGCUCGUGCUGAUUACGUCCCUGCCCUUUGUACACACCGCCCGUCGCUCCAACCGAUUGAGUGCUCAGGUGAAUAAUUCGGACUGCAGCAAUGUUUGGAUCCCGAACGUUGCAGCGGAAAGUUUAGUGAACCUUAUCACUUAGAGGAAGGAGAAGUCGUAACA
RNAcentral lists this ribosomal RNA (326 nucleotides) under uncultured eukaryote. RNAcentral's name for it is "partial 18S ribosomal RNA". It matches the Rfam family "Eukaryotic small subunit ribosomal RNA", at positions 1470 to 1796 of the family's 1831-position model. The record is from RNAcentral.